AGGACGAACGCUUGCGGCGUGCCUAAGAAAUGCAAGUCGAGCGGAGGGAGCAAUCCCUUAGCGGCGAACGGUCGCGUAACACGUAGGCAACCUGCCCGAAAGACCGGGACAACGGUUCGAAAGAGCCGCUAAUACCGGAUGUGACCAGGGAGAGACCUCUCUUUCUGUUUAAAUCACUUGUGGCUUUCGGAGGGGCCUGCGGCCUAUCAGCUAGAUGGCGGGGUAACGGCUCACCAUGGCGACGACGGGUAGCUGGUCUGAGAGGAUGGUCAGCCGGACUGGGACUGAGAGACGGCCCAGACUCCUACGGGGGGCAGCAAUUAGGAAUCUUGCGCAAUGGGGGCAACCCUGACGCAGCGACGCCGCGUGGAGGAGGACGGCCUUCGGGUUGUAAACUCCUUUGACGAGGAAGAACAAAUGACGGUACUCGUCGAAUAAGCCCGGCUAACUCCGUGCCAGCAGCCGC
RNAcentral lists this ribosomal RNA (466 nucleotides) under uncultured bacterium. RNAcentral's name for it is "SSU rRNA". It matches the Rfam family "Bacterial small subunit ribosomal RNA", at positions 26 to 518 of the family's 1533-position model. The record is from RNAcentral.